This 436-nucleotide long non-coding RNA is filed under the name Ananas comosus (pineapple). Its description in RNAcentral is "long non-coding RNA (ACOM_LNC005350)". Lineage: Eukaryota; Viridiplantae; Streptophyta; Magnoliopsida; Poales; Bromeliaceae. The record is from RNAcentral.
GCACUCAAAUAUGCUCAAAUCUAAUAAAUUCGCAGAAAAGUCCUCCAAAGCACUUUUGUGAACCUGCAUCUAAUUUGAUACAAUUUGAUCUUCUCCAUAUUAUUUUUGAGCAACUAAACUCAAGAAUUACAUUAAACCAACUCCGCUAUAGCUUAAACUCAUUUGAAUCCAACUAAAAUUGCUGAGCAAAAAAUUACUUCUAAAUUUUAUUUUUUAUUAUCAAAAUUACCGUUUGAUUAUGUUGGAAAUAAUAAUCCAAACUCAACAAUUGGUAGCAGAGAAAAUCACGCUUUCAACAGAUUAAAUUCAACAGAUGCUUAACUUACACUAAACAAUUCGCAAUUCGUUAACUGGAGUUAAAAGCCGCGCCUCUUAAUGAAAUAAACGAAGCGGGUAGCGUGCUACCUAUCUCUCUCUCAAAAAAAAAAAAAAAAAA